This 1492-nucleotide ribosomal RNA is filed under the name uncultured bacterium. Its description in RNAcentral is "bacterial SSU rRNA". It matches the Rfam family "Bacterial small subunit ribosomal RNA". The record is from RNAcentral.
AGAGUUUGAUCAUGGCUCAGGACGAACGCUGGCGGCGUGCUUAACACAUGCAAGUCGAACGAGGAAUGUUGAAAAGCUUGCUUUUCAGCAUUUCGAGUGGCGGACGGGUGAGUAACGCGUGAGCAACCUGCCUUUCAGAGGGGGAUAACGUCCGGAAACGGACGCUAAUACCGCAUAACAUGGAGAUAUCGCAUGAUAAUUCCAUCAAAGAUUUUAUCGCUGAGAGAUGGGCCCGCGUCCGAUUAGGCUGUUGGUGAGGUAACGGCUCACCAAACCGACGAUCGGUAGCCGGACUGAGAGGUUGAACGGCCACAUUGGGACUGAGACACGGCCCAGACUCCUACGGGAGGCAGCAGUGAGGAAUAUUGGACAAUGGGGGCAACCCUGAUCCAGCCAUGCCGCGUGAAGGACUAAGGCCCUAUGGGUCGUAAACUUCUUUUGCUCGCGGGCAAUAAGGGCCACGUGUGGUCCGAUGAGAGUAGCGGGCGAAUAAGCAUCGGCUAAUUCCGUGCCAGCAGCCGCGGUAAUACGGAAGAUGCGAGCGUUGUUCGGAUUUAUUGGGUUUAAAGGGUGCGUAGGCGGUUGUUCAAGUCAGCGGUGAAAUGCCCAUGCUCAACAUGGGAACUGCCGUUGAGACUGUUCGGCUGGAGUUCCGUUGCCGUGGGAGGAAUGUGUGGUGUAGCGGUGAAAUGCAUAGAUAUCACACAGAACACCGAUUGCGAAGGCAUCUCACGAAGCGGCGACUGACGCUGAGGCACGAAAGCGUGGGUAUCGAACAGGAUUAGAUACCCUGGUAGUCCACGCAGUAAACGAUGAUGGCUAACCGCCGGCGAUACACAGUCGGUGGCCAAGCGAAAGCGAUAAGCCAUCCACCUGGGGAGUACGACCGCAAGGUUGAAACUCAAAGGAAUUGACGGGGGCCCGCACAAGCGGAGGAACAUGUGGUUUAAUUCGAUGAUACGCGAGGAACCUUACCCGGGCUCGAACGGCUGGAGAACGACACAGAGAUGUGAAGGCCCUUCGGGGCUCCAGUCGAGGUGCUGCAUGGUUGUCGUCAGCUCGUGCCGUGAGGUGUCGGCUCAAGUGCCAUAACGAGCGCAACCCUUGCCGUCAGUUGCCAUCAGGUUAUGCUGGGGACUCUGGCGGGACUGCCACCGCAAGGUGAGAGGAGGGGGGGGAUGACGUCAAAUCAGCACGGCCCUUACGUCCGGGGCGACACACGUGUUACAAUGGUGGGUACAGAGGGAUGCUACCUGGCGACAGGGUGCGGAUCUCGAAAGCCCAUCUCAGUUCGGAUCGGAGUCUGCAACCCGACUCCGUGAAGCUGGAUUCGCUAGUAAUCGCGCAUCAGCCAUGGCGCGGUGAAUACGUUCCCGGGCCUUGUACACACCGCCCGUCAAGCCAUGAAAGCCGGGGGCGCCUGAAGUCCGUGACCGAGAGGAGCGGCCUAGGGCGAAACUGGUGAUUGGGGCUAAGUCGUAACAAGGUAACC